UCGAUAGGUAGCUAUUUUUGUUUUUUGCUUUGAUACUUGUGGCGCAAGCUUUGGAUGAACUUCUGCUUCUGCGGUCGGCAUUCUUACAGGAGAACCCAAGAUUCACUGUACCUAGCUACAUGUCACCAUUGAAGCAAGGACCAGCUCGACUCCUGCAGUAGGAGUCCAGCCUCGUCCAGUCGUCGCCGCUCGCCAAGACCAGCCGGACUCCUGCAAUAGGGGUCCAGGCUGACCCGUUCGUCCAGUAACCGCCGCUCGUCAGCACCAGCUGGGCUCCUGUAGUAGGGGUCCAGCCUCGUCCAGUCGCCGCCGCUCGCCAAGACCAGCUGGGCUCCUGUAGUAUGGGGCUAGGAUGGCCCGUUCAUCAACCUUUCCUGAAGUCUUAUCGCUGUCAGCCAGCCGAACUCAGUACAUAAGUCACCAACCCUGAAUGUUGCCAGCCAAAGUCGGCAGUUUCCUUCGGACAGUCAUCUCACCAGUGUUGUACAGUGUACGAGGUUAGUGACGCAGUUAAAUGCGUCAAUUAAAUGCGAGGACGUGCGCUUGUAUGCAGCGUUUUGUCAUGUUAAGCUGCAUGGGUGUCGAUUUUCACCGAAUUGAGGGUGCCCACUGCCCGGGCGCAGCAAAUCCGCCGCCGCCUCAGCGGUGACCUUGACCCGCGCCGUCUGUUGGGGCUCCAAAGCCAAGCCAGCCGAGCCGGCGGGGAAUUUAAAGAGCUUGAGCACCCCCAACCCGGCGGAAAUUGACAUCUAUGUUGAGCUCUAUGGAUGCGUUUUAGCCUUCCGCCGUGGUGGUAAAUAGCAGCCUACGUGCAGAAUUAGGCAGGCUUAUUGGCGGGCUCAUUAUUGGAUUCAUUGUGUCACGUUUGUCGGCACGUGUAAGAUGUGCUUAACUGCCAUUGGCUCUCGGCCUGGCGACUUCUGGGGACCACGUAAUGGGGAUGACAAUUGGAAUCCUGUGCAUUUAGCCGGCCAUUUACGUCCAUGGCUAUAUACCCCCGUACUAGGGCUAGUUAUGACGUAUAUAGGGAUCCUCGAGAUCUUUUUUGAUGAAUGGGUUGUGCAGUGUUGAGAUCCGCGUGUAACGUCACUGUUUAGCCAGUCUGCCCUCAAACGGGUCAUCUUUACUCAUAUUUUAUUUACAUGAACGCUUUGCAUGGUCCAGUGGUUUAUAUAGACAUCUUCCUUCAUCCUUGCACUAGCUAGUUUUAUGUGGCCAGGUUGAUUGCCUGUCAGCGCGGUCACGCUGUCGUCUUUCGAUUGGUGCGCUUAAAUGCGGCGAGAUGAAUAUAGGAUUUCCUUUGAUGCUAUUUAGUACCUGCGCCCAGCUCAACUGGGGAAGGGGGGGGGGGCACUGCCGACUUUUGGUCCCAUUCUUUCCAUGUAACGCCCAUAGAGCCCAUGUUAAAAUGCCAAAAUCAAAGGGGGGCACGGUGCCCCGGUGCCCUCCCCGUUCCGCCGCCUAUGCGCGAAAGCACCAACUACCAUCAGUUUCCAGUUGUUUGUGUCCCAAUGUUUUUUUAUGAGUUGGACGAUUGGGCUUUUCCCAUCGCUCAUAGGUUAUGCAAAUAUUUUGUUAAACGCUCUAAAAUUGUUUCUCUACAAGUCAUUAGAACUUAGAAGCAAACAGAUAUUGAUGGAUACGAUCUCAAGGCGGCCGAUAAGAAGGAAGAGCGCGCGGCGCAAUGAUUGUGGAGCACAGCACACGAUUAAUGUGAGGCGCAUUUAAGCGAGAAAUAACUUUAUUGAGCAGAAAUGAGCAGAGUACCAGCAUUGAAACUGCACCAGUACCAGCAUUGAAACUAAAUAUAAGAUAUCUCAGAAGGUUGCGCUUUUGGGGUGAGUUGUGGUGCUUUACGCCGUACAUCAUGCUUAAUGAAUGUGACCGUCGUGUUUGUGGGAUCCCCGUCGGUACUAGUCAGCCCCACAAAUCGUGGUAUCAUAAAGAUAAUCUUCGCCUCCG
RNAcentral lists this long non-coding RNA (1962 nucleotides) under Amphibalanus amphitrite. RNAcentral describes it as "uncharacterized LOC122387734". The record is from RNAcentral. Lineage: Eukaryota; Metazoa; Arthropoda; Thecostraca; Balanomorpha; Balanidae.